GACGAACGCUGGCGGCGUGCUUAACACAUGCAAGUCGAACGGACAGGCCCUGCUUUUGUGGGGUGCUCGAGUGGCGAACGGGUGAGUAACACGUGAGUAACAUGCCCUUGACUUUGGGAUAACUUCAGGAAACUGGGGCUAAUACCGGGUAGGAGCUCCUGCUGCAAGGGGGGGGUUGGAAAGUUUCGGCGGUUGGGGAUGGACUCGCGGCUUAUCAGCUUGUUGGGGGGGUAGUGGCUUACCACGGCUUUGACGGGUAGCCGGCCUGGGAGGGUGACCGGCCACAUUGGGACUGAGAUACGGCCCAGACUCCUACGGGACGCAGCAGUGGAGAAUAUUGCACAAUGGGCGGAAGCCUGAUGCAGCAACGCCGCGUGCGGUAUGACGUCCUUCUGGUUGUAAACCGCUUUCGCCUGUGCCGAAGCGUGAGUGACGGUAAUGGGUAAAGAAGCACCGGCUAACUACGUG
Molecule: ribosomal RNA, 468 nt
Filed under: uncultured bacterium
Lineage: Bacteria
Description: partial 16S ribosomal RNA
Rfam family: Bacterial small subunit ribosomal RNA
Source: RNAcentral